AGAAAAACAAAGAGAUGAAAGAUGGAGAAGGAGAAAAUGAUGACAAAGAAGAGAAAGAAGGGUGAAAAACAUACAACUAAAGUCAAUUCUGUGGGGAAAAAAACCAUACUGGACUUCUACUAAUAAUGAUUCUCUAAAUAAUCAGACACCGCCUUCUAUCCAACAAUAACUUAAAAUGCGGAUGAAAGUACAUGGAAUAAAAUUUCAAAAACUGCGAAGCACAAUUAGAUGUGACCACCAGCUCCUCACAUCAAGAGGUAGAAUUUAUGUAGCCUCAUCCUGGAUGGCUUGUGACUGUUUCAAUCAACAGACAGGAGCAAAAGUGAUGCUGUGUGACUUCUGAGGAUGUGUCAGAAAAGGCCACGCUUUGAAUUCCUGGCCCUCUUGGACCCUUCACCCUGGAAGACGCCAGCUGCCAUAGAGGAUCCUGGUGCUGGAGUAGCCGUGUAAUUGUUCUGGUCAACAGCCCAGCCGAGCACCCAACUGACAGUCAGCAAUGUUGCCAGCCAUGUGAAUGAGCCACCUUGGACAUGAGCCCAGCUGAGCUUUCAAAUGACUGCAGCCCCAGCCAACAUCUGACUUUAACCACAAGAGAGACACCAAUGUGAGAACAGCCUGCUGAGACCUUCCUG
Molecule: long non-coding RNA, 632 nt
Organism: Sciurus carolinensis (gray squirrel)
Lineage: Eukaryota; Metazoa; Chordata; Mammalia; Rodentia; Sciuridae
Exons: 3
Source: RefSeq, a predicted model, not a curated record